RNAcentral lists this ribosomal RNA (478 nucleotides) under uncultured bacterium. RNAcentral describes it as "SSU rRNA". It matches the Rfam family "Bacterial small subunit ribosomal RNA", at positions 26 to 518 of the family's 1533-position model. The record is from RNAcentral.
AGAAUCAACGCUGGCGGCGUGCCUAACACAUGCAAGUCGAACGAGAAAGUGGAGCAAUCCAUGAGUAAAGUGGCGACCGGGUGAGUAACACGUGACUAACCUACCCUCGAGUGGGGAAUAACUCCGGGAAACCGGGGCUAAUACCGCAUAACAUCUUCGGAACGCGAGUUCUGUUGAUCAAAGGAGCAAUUCGCUUGAGGAGGGAGUCGCGGCUGAUUAGCUAGUUGGCGGGGUAACGCCCACCAAGGCGAAGAUCGGUAGCCGGCCUGAGAGGGGCGCGACGGCCGACGACUGGAACUGAAACACGGUCCAGACUCCUACGGGAGGCAGCAGUGGGGAAUUUUGCGCAAUGGGGGAAACCCUGACGCAGCAACGCCGCGUGGAGGAUGAAGCCCUUGGGCGUAAACUCCUUUCGACCAAGACGAUAAUGACGGUACUGGUGGAAGAAGCACCGGCUAACUCUGUCGCCAGCAGCCGC